CCGCGAAAACACCAUUUUAUUAAGAUAUCGAUCGAAGGUUUUCUUCUAAAGAGAGUCGGUCUGUAACCGAUGAGCUUACAUGGAAAAAUAAAAAACCUCGUACUCUUACUUUUUUAACAAAAACAAUCAGCACGAACAUUAGGAAUAAAUCUGAUAGAAAAAGAUGGAAAAGAAAGCUUCAAAAGCUUCAAAAGCUUAAAAUGUUGAAUCUCUACCGCAAAAACAAGACACACUUAGUGAAAAAGUAUUUUACCUUUUUCAAGAAGUCACUAAACAACAUUAGCCUUGAACCCCUCACAGCUCAAAUAACCAUCAUUGUAUAUAUGUAUCGGAACUCUUAUAUAUAUUCCGGAUCCGGGUCAUCUUCAAAUGGAACUCUUUGGCCGUUAUCUUCCAUCACCGACCAUAUCACAAAGAGCAAACGAUCUCUUCCCUGCAUUAAAUAGUCUAAAACCAAUGAUUUUUAUCGCCACACAUUCACAGAAAAUAUUUU
This 493-nucleotide long non-coding RNA is filed under the name Arabidopsis lyrata. Its description in RNAcentral is "long non-coding RNA (ALYR_LNC003275)". Lineage: Eukaryota; Viridiplantae; Streptophyta; Magnoliopsida; Brassicales; Brassicaceae. The record is from RNAcentral.